AUCCGGAGGGUGCAAGCGUUACUCGGAAUCACUGGGCGUAAAGCGCGCGCAGGCGGCUUGAUAAGUUGGAUGUGAAAGCCUACGGCUCAACCGUAGAACUGCAUCCAAAACUGUCAGGCUAGAGUGUGGGAGAGGAAGAUGGAAUUAGUUGUGUAGGGGUAAAAUCCGUAGAGAUAACUAGGAAUACCAAAAGCGAAGGCAAUCUUCUGGAACACUACUGACGCUGAGGCGCGAAGGCGUGGGGAGCAAACAGGAUUAGAAACCCCGGUAGUCC
Molecule: ribosomal RNA, 274 nt
Filed under: uncultured bacterium
Lineage: Bacteria
Description: partial 16S ribosomal RNA
Rfam family: Bacterial small subunit ribosomal RNA
Source: RNAcentral